GGCCUCCACCUCCUCCUCCUCCCAGCUCUGCCGCUGCCGCCGCCGCCGCCGCCGGAAAAGGCGCCGAAGAAACCGCCUCACUUCCCCUCCCGAUCACGCAGGCGCAACAAGGCCGACCGUUCAACGAGAGCGACCUCUGACCCGUCCACGUUACUUAAAAGUAACAGUGUUACCAAGAGUUCCCGUGCCUUGGCGCAUUUUCAGCUUUUUAAGCAUAGUAUUCUGCAUUUGAUCUGCCUUACUUCCUGACUUGCUGGUAAGGGAUUCAGCUUCUCAAGGAGAUCUUUCUAAUGGCCAAGUUGGUGGUGAAAGCAAAGAUGGAAGAACUUUCCAUGUUACAGGACCCAGAGAAAAGAUUAAUCUUCCAAAUCUCAAGAAAAGGUGGGUUAAAACUCACCCGAUGACACAGGAUAUUUGGCGUUUAGUAGCCACCUCAUUGCUGACCCCUAUCGGACCAUCGCCAAAACUUCUCUGCUAAAGACUGUUAAUCACCCUCGCCGCCAACAGGGGCUGCUCGUUCACUCACAGCCUGUUGGAGAAAAUGGCUGCCGGGCCACAGCGCAAAAAAGGCGCCUCUGACCCCAGAUUGCCCAAGUUCACCUGGCGGCGGUCCAGCUUGCUGCUCUGUUACCACUGUUUCCCCAGACGUUUCCUCCCCACGUCCUGCCAGGAAAGGUUACCUUCUUUCACCACUGUUAGGUCAAAGUUUUUGCUUUCAAAUAUUGCAGACGGAAGAUCUGACAGAUCAGCAGCCUUUCACCCGAAUCCUUACAUUCAACUGUUUAUGGAUAGGGCUGAGCUUCCGACGGGGUACCCUGCUACUCCUUCCUUGGGUGGCGGGGACAACUUAGAGGGCGCCCAGACGCCCUUGUGAGAGCAGAGGUAAGGGGCCAGCGUGGCCGAAUGUCGUCACCCGGUCUCCCCUCGAUUCUUGGAUUGCCAAAAGCCGACGUUAGAGAUGGAAGGAAGCGCCGGUAACUUCGAGCCCCCCGCGCGCGGCUGCAUGCGAACUCAGUGUUGCGGAGAGCAAAACCUCAGCGCCCGCCACCGAGCUGCCUCGAGCAAGGCUGGUGUCCCUAUCUCAUUUUAAAAAGGAAAUACAUGAGCAAAGUUUGAAGGAAUAGAAUUUUCAAGUUGUCAGAAGUUCUUGGUUGUGAUUGUAAUUUCACCUCUAUGAAAGAACUGUCUUUUAAAGGAUUCCCUUUUAAAUUCAGACAUUUUAGGGGCUGCGGAAGUUGAUCAAAUAUCCACAUCAGUCUUAACAUUAAUCUGAUAAUCUAUUGGGAAUUUAAAGACUAAGCACUAAACACAGAUUUACACCACUUGUAAAAUAACAAGGAAAGGGACAGUGUAGUAAGCUUUUCAUAAAGCUAAUGGUAUUCCAUUUUUUUGAGGUGAUUCUUUUUUUUAAACAAAAAUAACUGUUAGAAAAGGCCCUCCUUGAACAAAUAUCUUCUUCUGGUGCUUCUGGGUCUACCCUCUACAACUUCAUGGACUAAGUCCUACUCCAAUUCUUCAGGACAUUUGAAGACUUUAAAAGUCACCUCCAAAUCAAUGCACUUUCACUAAAUGGAAAUAUACAGAAAUGCAUUUUUACUUUUUAAAUCUUUACCCCACUCCACCCAGAAAAUAGAAAAAUACUUUGAACAUUUUUUACCCCCUCCCAAUGCCGCUACCCCCCCUACCCCCCCCAAUGGAUCCCUAAAUUUAGCCCAGAAUGGCUUAACUGUGACUAUAAGGACUGCAUUUGAGUUGCCAUCUCUGCUGGCUUUGGAGUUUCUAUUCCCCUUCAGUCUUUUCCACAACCUCUAGGAGAACUUCUCAGCUUUCUGUAACUGAAGUGUGGUAGGCAGAAUAAUGAAUGACCUCUCCCCCCGCAAGAUGUCUACAUCCUCGUAUUGGAACCUACGAUAUAUUACUUUACAUGGUAAAAGGUAUGAGUAAAUUAAGGAUCUUGAGAUGGGGAGAUUAUCCUGGAAUAUCCCAGGGGGCCCAGUGAAAUUACAAGAAUCCUUGUGAAGAAGGGAGGCAAGACAAUCAGAGUCAGAGAAGAAGAUAAAUACAGCCUGGAAGUAGAGAUUGGAGUCCUGCAAAGCCACCAACCAAAGACUGUGGACAGCUUCUGGAAGCUGGGAAAAGCAAGGAAACCAAUUCUCUCCUAGAGCCUCCAGAAAGAAUGCAGCCCUGCUGACCCAUCCCGGACUUCUGACCUUCAGAACUGUAUGAUAAAUGUGUGUUGCUUAACCCACUGAAUUUGUGGUACUUUGCUACGGUAGCAAUAGAAAACACAUGAAAAUACAUGAGAGGGGUCAAGGUUAGUCUGUACCUGAAAAAAACCCCUAUGAGGUCAGGAAGAACUCAUUACAGUAACUGUCUUCUGUAAUAUACUUGUGCUUUUUUUUUUUCUUUAAGAACUUUUCAUGUUGAACCAGUUUUUAGGGUUGAUACCUUUUCUCAUGGUUUGUAUUUCUUUAAACUAUAAGAAUUUAGAACUCAUCCAUCCAUUCAUCUAGCCAUCUACCCAUUCAAAAAAUUGUUUAAGUAAGUGCCGAAUAUUUACCAGAUCAUAUAUUUAUACUAGAUAAGCAGAAACAGUAUAGACAAAUUAUUGUCCUUGUAGAGCUUCUGUCUUGUUGAGGGUGAGGAGGAGACCAUCUUUUAAAAAUGAUCCAUGUAAGGUGAGUUUUAGCAUUCUUGUUAUGCUCUGCUGAGUAUAUUUAAUUCAUUAGCCUGCUUGCAUGCCUGAAAUCGCCAAUACGAAAAACUCUGUCCUGGGUUAAGGCAUGGUUUUCAGUUACAAAUACACUUGUACAUUUGUACAAAACAUGUACAAAAACACCAUUAGAGAAUGUCUAUUUCAGCCACCCUCCUGAUACUUGGUUAUACUUUACUACAAUUUCCUACAAUAUCCAUGAAAGAAGUUCAGUAUUUCAUGAUGUUGACCACAUUUUUUUUUUAAAAAAAGAGUUUGUGUUAAUGGUGUAAUAUUUUUGAUAUACACUAACUUAAAAGUUGUAUGUAUUCACAACUAUUCUAUUAGUCUUAACCUUUAUGGUUUAUACUUUGGGUGUUUACUUUGAAGGGCCUCAUCCAUCUCAAGAGCAUAUAAAUAGUCAUAUUAAUGUUUAUAACUCUGUUAUCUUUAGAGUACACAUGUCAUUGAUUUAAAAAUAGCACUGUCUCUCCAAAACAAUGCUUUUCUUGUUCUUUACUUUUUGGGGGGUUCACAUUCUUGGUGCAAAGUGCUGACAGCAGAUGAAAUAUUACAGAUAUAAUUAUCAAAAAAUUGUUGUCCAUUUUGACCUUCCUGGUGGCUCCCUAAAGGAUCACUUCGAAAGUUUUCCUUUGUUUUAACUACAUAGGGGUUUUUCCAGCGCCAGAAAGGCUUCACAAGCAGUAUUUGUUGAAAGCAUUUAAAAGCAAAUGUAUUAGCUCCUGCCAGCCAUGGCAAGAGUUAAUAGGGCAAAAAAUAGAUCAAAAAGGCUAAGAAGAAAGAAGCUGAGGAAGGAGGCACUUGGAGGAAUAUAGACUGGCAACUCUGGUAUAUUCCAGGGAAUCCAGAAGGUCAAAUACAUGCCCAAGGCAGAAUGCGUGCUCAGAAGAGACCUCUCACUAAGCUCUCACUUUGGGCUGGACUUCAGGCUCAGAACAAGAAGGAAAUGAAGGCUAAGGCAGAGUUAUAAACUGACAUGCUAAAUGUUGAAGUACCCCAACAUAGUCCAUUCUGCAAAAUCAGAGAGAAUUCUUUUGUUUGGUUGGUUGGUUGGUUCAAACAUUUAAGGAAAUCUCUGUCAAACCAUUAGUGGCACAUUAUUCUAAUGGAACAGAACUUCAGUGGCCACAAACAACAAGGAAUAAAUAAAGACUUACCAAAAUUAGUUCAAAAGAGAGGAUUCUGGGGAAAUAGUAGAGUAGAAAGCACCAGGAAUCUGUCUCUCCACCUAGACAACAACUGAAGGAUAGCAGACAACAACUGGCAGAGUCUGUCUAGGGUACCUAUUUCAGAACUGAGUGGCUGCAACUUCCAGAAAAAGUCUUGGAUGGUAAACUGUGGUUAACUUUUGUCAAUUUCAGCGCCUAGCCCCACAGCAGGCAGAUGUAUACAUAUUCCUGGAGCAGCUUGCAUGGCGUUUGGCAGCCAGAAUGCACAAAAGGACCCAGUUUUCCAAAUAUUGAGCAUCUAUGCUCUGACUGACCAUUGCAGUUUCUGGUCACAGAGGUGCAGGAAAAGAGGUAGGUGGCCAUUGUUGUUGCAUCUCCCACCAUUGUUGGAAGCCCCUGCUAACUUCCAGGGGAUUGCAAGGGUCAGCACCCUUUUUCUCCUCUCUUAUAUUUUUCCUUUUUCUUUUCCCCCUUUGGGGAGCCAGAUGACAAAGACUAUGACAUUCAAAAGCAACUGCAUAUAUGGGGAAAAUUAGAAAUUUCUGCUUCAAGGGGUGCCUGGGUGGCUUAGUUGGUUAAAUGUCUGACUCUUGAUUUUGGCUCAGGUCAUGAUCUCAUGGUUCUGAGUUUGAGCCCCAUGUCAGGCUGUAUGCUGGCAGG
Long non-coding RNA from Felis catus (domestic cat), 4542 nucleotides. RefSeq lists it as uncharacterized. The record is from RefSeq and is a predicted model, not a curated record. The transcript has 4 exons. NCBI's taxonomy places the organism in Eukaryota, Metazoa, Chordata, Mammalia, Carnivora, Felidae.